RNAcentral lists this ribosomal RNA (882 nucleotides) under Trichoderma sp. Its description in RNAcentral is "partial large subunit ribosomal RNA". It matches the Rfam family "Eukaryotic large subunit ribosomal RNA", at positions 42 to 952 of the family's 3401-position model. Lineage: Eukaryota; Fungi; Ascomycota; Sordariomycetes; Hypocreales; Hypocreaceae. The record is from RNAcentral.
AUCAAUAAGCGGAGGAAAAGAAACCAACCGGGAUUGCCCCCAGUAACGGCGAGUGAAGCGGCAACAGCUCAAAUUUGAAAUCUGGCCCCUAGGGUCCGAGUUGUAAUUUGUAGAGGAUGCUUUUGGUGAGGUGCCGCCCGAGUUCCCUGGAACGGGACGCCACAGAGGGUGAGAGCCCCGUCUGGCUGGCCACCGAGCCUCUGUAAAGCUCCUUCGACGAGUCGAGUAGUUUGGGAAUGCUGCUCAAAAUGGGAGGUAUAUGUCUUCUAAAGCUAAAUAUUGGCCAGAGACCGAUAGCGCACAAGUAGAGUGAUCGAAAGAUGAAAAGCACCUUGAAAAGAGGGUUAAAUAGUACGUGAAAUUGUUGAAAGGGAAGCGCUUGUGACCAGACUUGGGCGCGGCGGAUCAUCCGGGGUUCUCUCCGGUGCACUUCGCCGCGUCUAGGCCAGCAUCAGUUCGUCGCGGGGGAAAAAGGCUUCGGGAACGUGGCUCCUCCGGGAGUGUUAUAGCCCGUUGCAUAAUACCCUGCGGUGGACUGAGGACCGCGCAUCUGCAAGGAUGCUGGCGUAAUGGUCACCAGCGACCCGUCUUGAAACACGGACCAAGGAGUCGUCUUCGUAUGCGAGUGUUCGGGUGUCAAACCCCUACGCGUAAUGAAAGUGAACGCAGGUGAGAGCUUCGGCGCAUCAUCGACCGAUCCUGAUGUUCUCGGAUGGAUUUGAGUAAGAGCAUACGGGGCCGGACCCGAAAGAAGGUGAACUAUGCCUGUAUAGGGUGAAGCCAGAGGAAACUCUGGUGGAGGCUCGCAGCGGUUCUGACGUGCAAAUCGAUCGUCAAAUAUGGGCAUGGGGGGCGAAAGACUAAUCGAACCUUCUAGUAGCU